Molecule: long non-coding RNA, 430 nt
Organism: Manduca sexta (tobacco hornworm)
Lineage: Eukaryota; Metazoa; Arthropoda; Insecta; Lepidoptera; Sphingidae
Exons: 2
Source: RefSeq, a predicted model, not a curated record
GAUUUAGAUAACAAAAGACUACAACGUUUUCACGUGAAAUAAACUUUUGUUUGCCGGACAUUUCAGCCUUAUCUGUUCGUUAUUACUGUUGAAAUAUUUUUGCAAAUACAGAAAUAUAAGCGGAUUCAAUGUGAUAAAAUAAAAACAAAUGCUGGGAAUAUGUUUGUAGGUUAAGUUCUAUAACUUUGGAUAAAGACAAAUUUGUAUUCCCUGAGACUCGAGCUCCACCGCUCGGUGUUAUACAAUGUGUGCCACUGCUGAUCCUGGCUUACAGGAGUUGUAGUGGAAGUGGGGGCGGGAGAGUCUCUGAAAAACGUUCUAUAACUUUAUUUAGUCAUAAAAGAACAAUUUAUCGACAUAAUCAUCUCACACACAAUCAAAGAAAUAUUUAUGAAUAAAUGAAAAUAAAAUAAAUUUCCUUUUUUAAAAA